Molecule: ribosomal RNA, 417 nt
Filed under: Triticum aestivum (bread wheat)
Lineage: Eukaryota; Viridiplantae; Streptophyta; Magnoliopsida; Poales; Poaceae
Description: partial small subunit ribosomal RNA
Source: RNAcentral
AUGCGAGUUCGACUGUUCUAUCCAUGUUCAGCAGUCCCUUUCCAUCUUGGUACUGUUGAUGGCAGUACCGCAUUUGGCGCUGCCUUCCUCCAUGUCUACCACACUCUCACCCUGAAACCUGACCACCACAGGUCAGGGAACAUGUGUCCCAGACCGUGUCACCUGAGUUCUCCACCAUCCGGUGGUGGCCGGAGGGAGGGGUUCCGAACUUUCUUGAUCGUAGUUAGAUUUUUGGUUGUACAUGACUUCGGUUCAGGUGAUGAUGACCACGAAGAAUUAUUUUCUUCUAGAUCUCUUACCGAAGUAGCGGUUCUUUCAACUAUCGACAUUGGAUAUGGAAGAUGGGUGUGCAAGUUGUCUCGGGUCCUUUGCCAUUGGGAGGGUGCUUUGUGUGUCUUCAUGUUGGUGUUAAGGUGA